Molecule: ribosomal RNA, 497 nt
Filed under: uncultured bacterium
Lineage: Bacteria
Description: partial 16S ribosomal RNA
Rfam family: Bacterial small subunit ribosomal RNA
Source: RNAcentral
GAUGAACGCUGGCGGCGUGCCUAAUACAUGCCAGUCGAACGAACAGAUAAGGAGCUUGCUCCUUUGACGUUAGCGGCGGACGGGUGAGUAACACGUGGAUAACCUACCUAUAAGACUGGGAUAACUUCGGGAAACCGGAGCUAAUACCGGAUAACAUAUUGAACCGCAUGGUUCAAUAGUGAAAGGCGGCUUUGCUGUCACUUAUAGAUGGAUCCGCGCCGUAUUAGCUAGUUGGUAAGGUAACGGCCUACCAAGGCAACGAUACGUAGCCGACCUGAGAGGGUGAUCGGCCACACUGGAACUGAGACACGGCCCAGACUCCUACGGGAGGCAGCAGUAGGGAAUCUUCCGCAAUGGGCGAAAGCCUGACGGAGCAACGCCGCGUGAGUGAUGAAGGUCUUCGGAUCGUAAAACUCUGUUAUCAGGGAAGAACAAAUGUGUAAGUAACUGUGCACAUCUUGACGGUACCUGAUCAGAAAGCCACGGCUAACUACGUG